AGAGUUUGAUCCUGGCUCAGGACGAACGCUGGCGGCGUGCUUAACACAUGCAAGUCGAACGGUAAGGCCCCUUCGGGGGUACACGAGUGGCGAACGGGUGAGUAACACGUGAGCAACCUGCCCUUGACUCUGGGAUAACAGUUGGAAACAGCUGCUAAUACCGGAUACGACCCUAGAUGACAUCAUCUGGGGUGGAAAGCGCUUUAGCGGUCAAGGAUGGGCUCGCGGCCUAUCAGCUUGUUGGUGAGGUAACGGCUCACCAAGGCGACGACGGGUAGCCGGCCUGAGAGGGUGUCCGGCCACACUGGGACUGAGAUACGGCCCAGACUCCUACGGGAGGCAGCAGUGGGGAAUAUUGCACAAUGGGCGCAAGCCUGAUGCAGCGACGCCGCGUGAGGGAUGACGGCCUUCGGGUUGUAAACCCCUUUCAGGAGGGACGAAGGUUGGGCAGUUAAUAGCUGACCUGACUGACGGUACCUCCAGAAGAAGCCCCGGCUAACUACGUGCCAGCAGCGGCGGUAAUAC
This 525-nucleotide ribosomal RNA is filed under the name uncultured bacterium. RNAcentral's name for it is "bacterial SSU rRNA". It matches the Rfam family "Bacterial small subunit ribosomal RNA", at positions 8 to 526 of the family's 1533-position model. The record is from RNAcentral.